ACGCUGGCGGCACGCCUAACACAUGCAAGUCGAACGAAGUAGCAAUACUUAGUGGCAGACGGGUGAGUAACAUGUAGGUAUCUACCCUUUGGCCUGGAAUAACACGAGGAAACUUGUGCUAAUACCGGAUAAGUCUUUACGGAGAAAGCUUUAUGCACCAUUGGAUGAGCCUGCACUUGAUUAGUUUGUUGGUAGGGUAAUGGCCUACCAAGACUGUGAUCAAUAGCUGAUUUGAGAGGAUGAUCAGCCACAUUGGGACUGAGACACGGCCCAAACUCCUACGGGAGGCAGCAGUGGGGAAUCUUGCACAAUGGAGGAAACUCUGAUGCAGCGAUGCCGCGUGAGUGAAGAAGGCCCUUGGGUUGUAAAGCUCUUUCGUCGGGGAAGAAAAUGACUGUACCCGAAUAAGAAGGUCCGGCUAACUUCGUGCCAGCAGCCGCGGUAAUACGAAGGGACCUAGCGUAGUUCGGAAUUACUGGGCUUAAAGAGUUCGUAGGUGGUUGAAAAAGUUGGUGGUGAAAUCCCAGAGCUUAACUCUGGAACUGCCAUCAAAACUUUUCAGCUAGAGUUUGAUAGAGGAAAGCAGAAUUUCUAGUGUAGAGGUGAAAUUCGUAGAUAUUAGAAAGAAUACCAAUUGCGAAGGCAGCUUUCUGGAUCAUUACUGACACUGAGGAACGAAAGCAUGGGUAGCGAAGAGGAUUAGAUACCCUCGUAGUCCAUGCCGUAAACGAUGUGUGUUAGACGUUGGAAAUUUAUUUCCAGUGUCGCAGCGAAAGCGAUAAACACACCGCCUGGGGAGUACGACCGCAAGGUUAAAACUCAAAUGAAUUGACGGGGACCCGCACAAGUAGUGGAGCAUGUGGUUUAAUUCGAAGAUACGCGCAGAACCUUACCAACACUUGACAUGUUCGUCGCGACUUUAAGAGAUUAAAGUUUUCGGUUCGGCCGGACGAAACACAGGUGCUGCAUGGCUGUCGUCAGCUCGUGUCGUGAGAUGUUGGGUUAAGUCCCGCAACGAGCGCAACCCUCACUUUUAGUUGCCAUCAUUAAGUUGGGCACUCUGAAAGAACUGCCAGUGAUAAGCUGGAGGAAGGUGGGGAUGACGUCAAGUCCUCAUGGCCCUUACGUGUUGGGCUACACACGUGCUACAAUGGUAUUUACAACAGGAAGCAAGACAGCGAUGUUAAGCAAAUCCUUAAAAAAUACCUCAGUUCGGAUUGCACUCUGCAACUCGAGUGCAUGAAGCUGGAAUUACUAGUAAUCGUGGAUCAGCGUGCCACGGUGAAUGCGUUCCCGGGUCUUGUACACACCGCCCGUCACACCAUGGGAGUUGGUUCUACCUUAAGGCAAGGUUUUAAACCCUUGACCACGGUAUAGUCAGCGACUGGGGUG
RNAcentral lists this ribosomal RNA (1392 nucleotides) under uncultured marine bacterium. RNAcentral describes it as "16S ribosomal RNA". It matches the Rfam family "Bacterial small subunit ribosomal RNA". The record is from RNAcentral.